This 797-nucleotide ribosomal RNA is filed under the name uncultured bacterium. Its description in RNAcentral is "bacterial SSU rRNA". It matches the Rfam family "Bacterial small subunit ribosomal RNA", at positions 8 to 796 of the family's 1533-position model. The record is from RNAcentral.
AGAGUUUGAUCAUGGCUCAGGAUGAACGCUAGCGGCAGGCUUAAUACAUGCAAGUCGAGGGGCAGCAUGAGUGUAGCAAUACAUUUGAUGGCGACCGGCAAACGGGUGCGGAACACGUACAGAACCUUCCUUCGAGCGGGGAAUAGCCCAGAGAAAUUUGGAUUAAUACCCCAUAGUAUAUUGGAGUGGCAUCACUUUAAUAUUAAAGAUUUAUCACUUGAAGAUGGCUGUGCGCCUGAUUAGGUAGUUGGCGGGGUAACGGCCCACCAAGCCUUCGAUCAGUAACUGGUGUGAGAGCACGACCAGUCACACGGGCACUGAGACACGGGCCCGACUCCUACGGGAGGCAGCAGUAAGGAAUAUUGGUCAAUGGACGCAAGUCUGAACCAGCCAUGCCGCGUGGAGGAUGAAGGUCCUCUGGAUUGUAAACUUCUUUUAUAUGGGACGAAAAAGGGCUUUUCUAGGUCAACUGACGGUACCAUAUGAAUAAGCACCGGCUAACUCCGUGCCAGCAGCCGCGGUAAUACGGAGGGUGCAAGCGUUAUCCGGAUUCACUGGGUUUAAAGGGUGCGUAGGUGGGUUGCCAAGUCCGUGGUGAAAUCUCCGAGCUUAACUCGGAAACUGCCGUGGAUACUGGUAGCCUUGAAUACCGUGGAGGUCAGCGGAAUAUGUCAUGUAGCGGUGAAAUGCUUAGAUAUGACAUAGAACACCGAUUGCGAAGGCAGCUGGCUACACGAAUAUUGACACUGAGGCACGAAAGCGUGGGGAUCAAACAGGAUUAGAUACCCUUGUAGUCC